AUAGGACGGUGGUAUAACCAAAGUGCCUUUCCGAGAGUCAAGUCUCGUGUUUAGGUUCAUGUGGUACAACCCCACUCAAUGGAGGAAUCUUGAAAGUAAUCUAUGUUGGCAUGAAUAGUCGUGUUGGCAUUAUAUUUUCAAGUGACCGUCGAAGUUGAGGACCUUUAGUUACCCUUAACCCAUCUUAGCCUUUUUAGGACGUAGUGCGGUGGCUAAUCAAGAGUAGUCUUGAAUUAGUUGAUACGCGAUACUACACUCAAAUGAAACUUUCCUACGGAUAUUAUUGGAUCAAGAGUAGUCUUGUAACCUGAUAACAUUCGGAGGUAGUUGAUGACUUUGGGAACUGGAUAGAACCCGUGAUACAGGUACAAAUGAAACCAUAGUCCUUACCAAAUGGGGGUUAUUACCUUUAAACUCCAACAUGAUGAGCUUAACCUACGCAUAAUCAUGCAUACAUGCAUUCAUUCAUAAUUUUAUCUUUUUUCAUCAAAAAAUAUCAAAG
Molecule: long non-coding RNA, 502 nt
Filed under: Medicago truncatula (barrel medic)
Lineage: Eukaryota; Viridiplantae; Streptophyta; Magnoliopsida; Fabales; Fabaceae
Description: long non-coding RNA (MTRU_LNC004821)
Source: RNAcentral